AAUCGAUGAUCCUCGAUAUACCUCACCAUUUUUUGCUUUUCCAGCCUGUAUACCUCCGUCGCAAACCUACCAUUUGAAUGUCAUAAAGUAAGUUCAACUGGGCCCUAGCACGCCAAUACGUCAGGUCAAGGUGCAGCCCAUAAAAUGGGAAGCAAUGGGCUACAAUUUCUAAAAUAGAACAAACAAAAAACUACAUGAAACAUAGUCAUGAAGGCGGAUUUAGCAGUAAAAGAAGAACAGUAAGCUUCUUUUAAUAAGGCUCUGGGACGUGUACAAACCGCCCGUCACCCUCUUCAAUACCACUCCUUCAGCUCUAUAACAUCUUCUCAAUA
Molecule: ribosomal RNA, 332 nt
Filed under: Mantidactylus mocquardi
Lineage: Eukaryota; Metazoa; Chordata; Amphibia; Anura; Mantellidae
Description: partial 12S ribosomal RNA
Rfam family: Bacterial small subunit ribosomal RNA
Source: RNAcentral